AAUUAAAGGAAGAUAAUCAGCCAACGGUAUAAUAGAUAAAAGACAUGAACUAGCAAUUAUAAAAAGAAAAUAAAAAUAGCAAAUGAACCUAUGAAAGAUUGAGAAGACUCACUGAUGUAACCACGGACCCACUAGGACCAGUUCAACUGACCCGUAUUAUCAACAGUGUAAUUAAGAGUUGUUGUUCAGGAACUGAGAGUUGACCCCUUGUCCAGUUCAGGCCAAUUGAGACCACCAACCCAUCAACUGGGCCUGUGAGAAUGCCUGAUAGGUGACCCUUUUGAUGUUGAGGGGCUGAAAACAUCACCCUCAUCACGCUAACACCUCCAUUUUGUGAACAUGCAUCCUAUGAAGAGCCGUGCUGCUUGACGAUGCUUGCACAGAUCAUCAAUUACUUCACUUCUCCCUACCUCCAGUCAUCUAUUCCCACACUUCAGACCACCCUGCCCUUUUAUCCUGUAAAUUUUGCCCCAAACCUUGGAUUAGAGACACAUGUUUGUGAGCUUUGCCUCCUGUCUCCUUGCUGGUCAACCUCACAAUAAAACCCUCUCCUUCCUCAAAAGCUGUUGCUGAAAUAAUUGGGUUUUUAUGUGCAUCAAGAAGAGAACCCUAUCUUUGGGUGGCAACACUAAUAGUCAAAGAAGUUUAAUACAUCCAUAAGACACAGUGAUUUUUAUUCUAUGUGCCACAUAGGCACCAGUUAUGAGAUGGUAACUUGACGGCCUUUGGGUUAGUAGAGGGAGGCGUUGGGUUGGGAAGAACAGGCAGUUUGACCACAUGAUCUCUCAUAACACCUAAGACCUCUUUCUUAUUAUAAUGUACUAUCUUGUGUUUGGUCACAGACAAACGAUAGGAGCAAUUUCUUGCCAGAAAUAUACAUACGUUGAAAGAGAUACAGAAAAUUUAAUUGUGCCUCCUUUUCUCUAACGUUACCUGGCACGUGGUAGAUGUCUGCAUACAGAGCCGGUUAGUAAAAUUGUCAUGUACAUCUCAGGUUAGUGAGAUAUUGUCUCCUCUCAUGAGAUGGGCCAGUGUGAAAUAGGAGGGGUUCAUCUGCCAGGAAAGGAAAUGGAUGGAUAAAUACAGAGGAGAACAUUUAUUGAGCAUAGUGCAGGGACUCUCCUAAGAAGCUUACACGUUACCUUAUGUAAUGUUCACGGCAAUCCUAAGAGGUAAGCAUAGUUACCCUUAUUUAAAAAUGGGGAAAGUGAAGCUCAGAGAGAUUAAACCACUUGUUUGCGAUCUCAGAGUAAGGAAGAGAAGGGUUGGGAUUACUAAUACCUGGAUAUGUUAAGCCCACCAACCCACCGCCAGAGGGAUGAGCAGAGUAGAAACCCACGUUUUACAUUGCAUUUAGCUUAUUCUUCAAGGUUUAACAAAUAAACCUGGUGUUGUUUUAAGAAAAAAAUAUAUUAUGUUUAAAUAUGUACCUUUUGAAUGUAACUAGUGAUUUUUUAAAUCAAGGGGCAAGUCAUCUGCUCUCAGCAAUAUUUCUGCAAGCAGAGAAUGUUUGUUGAGAAAAAAGUAUUCUGAUUUGAAGCUAGAAUCUGCAGAGUUUUUUCUAAGAAGUGACGAAGAUUCCAUGUGAUAAGUGUAUAUUUGAAAAAAAUUGAAAUUUUAAAAUAGAACAUUUUAAACUUUCAUCUUGACAUCUUGAAAAGCACAGUUCACAGUUUUGAGAGUGUUCUCCAUCGAUUCCAGUUUACGUUAGGUUACACUGUUCAUAUUGAGCUGUAAUCAUAUUGAACUGUGUUCUGACGGAGAAUUUUGUGUUGGAGAAGAUUCUUCAUUAUUAUAAUAAAAGGCUAUUUUCAAGAAUCCCAAUGAGUAAAAUAGUCUUUGGGAGCUUAAUGGCAAAGAGAAGGAUAGAGCUGAGGAAUGUCAAAGUCCUUAAUUCAGGAAGAUAAGUCAAGCAGAUUUAGAUAUAUAUAUAUAUAUAUACACACAAGAUUUUUUCCUGGGGUCUCUGCUCAGCUAAUAAGCCUCACCUCCUUUACUGAUAACUGCUAUCUUCCAACAGAUAUGGACCUUGGCCACCAUAAUUUUACUCUGUGACCCUAUUCCCCCAACAGUCCCCUUCCAUAUGGCUUACAGAACCAAGAGUGGGCACAUGACCCCUCGAAGGAUUAAUCAUAUUCUCCCAAUUCAGGAUCUAAAAUCCAGAUUUAAAGAUGGUAGUCAAAUUCUGCUGGUCACAUAUGAGAGGUGUGUGAACUUCGGAAAUAUAGGAUGGCCAUCUUUUGCCAGGUACCCAGAGAAGCAGAGAAAAUCAAUUUGUAGAAAGAAAAGAAUAAAGGAGGCAUGUAAACAAAACUUGGGAUGCCACUGAGGACGGGACUGAGGAAGUUCGGGGCUUGAUUUUUCUGACAGGUUUCUGUUUCCAGGUUUUAAUCUCUUCUGACUGUGUUUCCUUUCUUUGGGUCCCAUCGAACACCCCUGUCGCCUUUUGAUAAAUUCCACCUUUCCUAUUUUCCUGCUUAAACUCGUUUGUGUGGGUUUUUGUUUACUUACAACCAAAAGACUCUUGAUUAAAACCCCAGGCUGUCACCCACAUGGAGGCCAGCCAAGGCUAUUGUUUCUGGGAUGGCCUUGUGUUACACAGUUCUAGAAAGUGAAUCAACCAGGAAGUUCCCUCUCCAACUUCAAGGCAGCAAAAUUGAAUGCUGGGAGCCCUGGGCACAGCUGAGGCUAAGAUUCGGAGAGAGCAAAUCUAGCCGGAGCCCAAAGGGAGGAAUGCCAGGGAAUUUCUGAAGUGGCUUAUUUCCCAGGGUUAUUGUGAAGUAAGUGAGACAAUAUAUAUAUAAAUGCUUUCUUUAUUGUAAAGGGUGAAAUAGUUCAGUGGUUUAGGGCACAGAUUCUGCAAUCAAGUUCCCUGAGUUUAAAUCUUGGCUCUGUUGCUUUUCUGGCUGGGUGACCUCAGAUGAGGACACUGAGGAGGAGAAGGGUUGAGUACCCUGGUCAAGAUCUCAGAGGUGACAUAUGGCAGAGCCCAGUCAGGUCUAAACCCAAGACUGAUUGUCUUCCAACUGGCAAGUCUACAGCUUUAAUCUCAAUGCACAGCCAUAUUUAAGAUCAUGUAACGACCUUUACAUGGCUUUAUAUGGCUUCUUUGCUUUCUCAAAGUCAAAGGAGUUUUAUGGCUGCAGGACUUUUAUGGUUCAAGGCUUUAAUCCAUUUUCAGUUAAGUUUUGUGUAUGGUAGAAGAUAGGAGUCCAGUUUCAUCCUUUUGAAUGUGGAUGUCAAGUUUUUCCGGCACCAUUUAUUGAAGAGACUAUCCUUUCCCCCUUGUGUAUCUGUGGCACCUUUGUCAAAAAAUAAUUGACCAUAUUUGAAUGACUGUAUUUAUUUUUGAACGUUUUCUCGAAGGAGCAAGAAAAAUAAAAAUUGUGGAAUAAAAUAAUUAGCCAAUUUGUGACUUCUUCCUUUCAGCUUUGUCCCUACACUCAGGCUGAGUGGGUCAGAAUUACAUAUAUUCAACAAUAAAUAUUCAACAAAUAUUUAUUGAGUUCUUACAUGGAUCAGACAUGGGGCUAGGUGAUGUGGAUCAAG
Equus caballus (horse) is the source of this 3549-nucleotide long non-coding RNA. RefSeq lists it as uncharacterized. The record is from RefSeq and is a predicted model, not a curated record. NCBI's taxonomy places the organism in Eukaryota, Metazoa, Chordata, Mammalia, Perissodactyla, Equidae.